GAAUCGCUAGUAAUCGUGGAUCAGAAUGCCACGGUGAAUACGUUCCCGGGCCUUGUACACACCGCCCGUCACACCAUGGGAGUGGGCUGCAAAAGAAGUAGGUAGUUUAACCUUCGGGAGGACGCUUACCACUUUGUGGUUCAUGACUGGGGUGAAGUCGUAACAAGGUAGCGCUAGGGGAACCUGGCGCUGGAUCACCUCCUUAAACGAUGAU
This 214-nucleotide ribosomal RNA is filed under the name Vibrio parahaemolyticus 3355. Its description in RNAcentral is "partial 16S ribosomal RNA". It matches the Rfam family "Bacterial small subunit ribosomal RNA", at positions 1329 to 1533 of the family's 1533-position model. Lineage: Bacteria; Pseudomonadati; Pseudomonadota; Gammaproteobacteria; Vibrionales; Vibrionaceae. The record is from RNAcentral.